Alexandromys fortis (reed vole) is the source of this 312-nucleotide long non-coding RNA. RefSeq lists it as uncharacterized. The transcript has 3 exons. The record is from RefSeq and is a predicted model, not a curated record. NCBI's taxonomy places the organism in Eukaryota, Metazoa, Chordata, Mammalia, Rodentia, Cricetidae.
UUUGGCUUCAUGAUGCAGAUGGAAAAAACAGGCAGAGAGACCUUCAGUCUCAAGGAUGCAGUCACACUAAGUCUGUUGGAGCACAGCGCCUGUCCCUGGGGCCAGGAAGAUGGAUCUGUUGAAGUGUUGGCCACAUAAGCAUGAGGACCUGAGUUCAUGUCCCCUGGACCUAUGUGAAAAGCCAGGCAUGGCGGUGGCAGGUUCACGGUGGAUCCAGCAAUGACUUGUGGUUCAGCAGACUUAAAAUAAUGAGUAUUUUAAAUGGACCGUGUUUUAUCCCCACAUCACACAACUCAGUUCAUAACAUAAAUA